Molecule: ribosomal RNA, 106 nt
Filed under: uncultured bacterium
Lineage: Bacteria
Description: partial 16S ribosomal RNA
Rfam family: Bacterial small subunit ribosomal RNA
Source: RNAcentral
CCUUGUACACACCGCCCGUCACACCAUGGGAGUUUGCUGUACCGGAAGCCGGUAAUCCAACCCGCAAGGGAGGUAGCCGUCCAUGGUAUGGCCGAUGACCGGGGUG